This 474-nucleotide long non-coding RNA is filed under the name Callithrix jacchus (white-tufted-ear marmoset). Its description in RNAcentral is "lncRNA (ENSCJAG00000083122.1)". Lineage: Eukaryota; Metazoa; Chordata; Mammalia; Primates; Cebidae. The record is from RNAcentral.
AUGAGAGCGCGUGUGUGUGCGCGCGCGCGGGCUGGCGGGCGCGUGUGCGCGUGUCUGCGCGCUCAGCCGCUCGGCGCGCUCGGCAAUCGAUUACAGGACAAGUGCUGCCCCGGCUGCUUCGCGACGGGCGCAAUCUCUCGCGCCCAUCCGUGCGCCCGGCCGCGUCGCCCCCGGUCCGUAGGUCCCCGGACGGCGGACCCACCUCUGACGGGGGCCCAGUCAUUCCACAACCACAAGGUUAACCAAGCUUGGAAUAAACUUGCCACAAUAGAAAGAAACUUAGAGAAACAAAACUGCUCCUUGGUGAAUACCGUAGAGCUGCUGGAUCAAGCAUUGCCUGCAACUUCCAUUGCUAGUGGCCCUUUUAGUUUAGUUUCACUGUUGUUACACAGACUGGAGUGCAAUGGCACGAUCUUGGCUCACCGCAACCUCCACCUCCUGGGUUCAAGCAAUUCUCCUGCCUCAGCCUCCUGA